AAUCCGUGAUGAGGGAAUUUCUGUAAUAAUUCUUUAUACCUUUCCCAUGCUUCAUACAAGGACUCAUCAUCCAUUUGUUGGAAAGCAGUGAACUCAUCCCUCAACUU
Non-coding RNA from Gossypium hirsutum (cotton), 107 nucleotides. The record is from Rfam. NCBI's taxonomy places the organism in Eukaryota, Viridiplantae, Streptophyta, Magnoliopsida, Malvales, Malvaceae.